AUUGAACGCUGGCGGCAUGCCUUACACAUGCAAGUCGAACGGUAACAGGUCUUCGGAUGCUGACGAGUGGCGAACGGGUGAGUAAUACAUCGGAACGUGCCCGAGAGUGGGGGAUAACGAAGCGAAAGCUUUGCUAAUACCGCAUACGAUCUCAGGAUGAAAGCAGGGGACCGCAAGGCCUUGCGCUCACGGAGCGGCCGAUGGCAGAUUAGGUAGUUGGUGGGAUAAAAGCUUACCAAGCCGACGAUCUGUAGCUGGUCUGAGAGGACGACCAGCCACACUGGGACUGAGACGCGGUCCAGACUCCUACGGGAGGCAGCAGUGGGGAAUUUUGGACAAUGGGCGCAAGCCUGAUCCAGCCAUGCCGCGUGCAGGAUGAAGGCCUUCGGGUUGUAAACUGCUUUUGUACGGAACGAAAAGACUCUGGUUAAUACCUGGGGUCCAUGACGGUACCGUAAGAAUAAGCACCGGCUAACUACGUGCCAGCCGCCGCCGUAA
RNAcentral lists this ribosomal RNA (498 nucleotides) under uncultured bacterium. RNAcentral's name for it is "partial 16S ribosomal RNA". It matches the Rfam family "Bacterial small subunit ribosomal RNA", at positions 30 to 523 of the family's 1533-position model. The record is from RNAcentral.